RNAcentral lists this ribosomal RNA (99 nucleotides) under uncultured bacterium. RNAcentral describes it as "partial 16S ribosomal RNA". The record is from RNAcentral.
CUUCGGCCCGUAAACCCCUGUCAUUUGCGAACAAAUGAUUUUACCUAACACGUAAAGCCUUGAUAGUAGCGGAAGAGGAAGGGACGGCUAACUCUGUGC